RNAcentral lists this ribosomal RNA (465 nucleotides) under Vreelandella stevensii. Its description in RNAcentral is "partial 16S ribosomal RNA". It matches the Rfam family "Bacterial small subunit ribosomal RNA", at positions 338 to 795 of the family's 1533-position model. Lineage: Bacteria; Pseudomonadati; Pseudomonadota; Gammaproteobacteria; Oceanospirillales; Halomonadaceae. The record is from RNAcentral.
CCUACGGGUGGCUGCAGUGGGGAAUAUUGGACAAUGGGCGAAAGCCUGAUCCAGCCAUGCCGCGUGUGUGAAGAAGGCCUUCGGGUUGUAAAGCACUUUCAGUGGGGAAGAAAGCCUUGGGGCUAAUACCCUCGAGGAAGGACAUCACCCACAGAAGAAGCACCGGCUAACUCCGUGCCAGCAGCCGCGGUAAUACGGAGGGUGCGAGCAUUAAUCGGAAUUACUGGGCGUAAAGCGCGCGUAGGCGGUCUGAUAAGCCGGUUGUGAAAGCCCCGGGCUCAACCUGGGAACGGCAUCCGGAACUGUCAGGCUAGAGUGCAGGAGAGGAAGGUAGAAUUCCCGGUGUAGCAGUGAAAUGCGUAGAGAUCGGGAGGAAUACCAGUGGCGAAGGCGGCCUUCUGGACUGACACUGACGCUGAGGUGCGAAAGCGUGGGUAGCAAACAGGAUGAGAUACCCUAGUAGUC